GUUUGUUAAUGAGUCAGUUUAUUAAUUAGAAUUUAUGUCCGUUGGAAAUGGAGCUGUUUUCCUGAGGGAUGGGAAGUCUGUUAGAUUUUUGAUAGAUUUUUUUCUUCUCUUCCUGUUUUAAUUGGAGGCUUAACAUACACACUUCACGGGAUAUGACUUGUGGCAGGCACCCGUGUGCCGCCCCGCCCCACCUCGCCCCGCCCCGCCCUGCGCUGCCCGGCAGAAAUCAGAGAUGGAGCCGGCUCCAGCUGACUACGGAGGACUAGUUUAGAUCUCCAGAUUCGGCACAGUGGGAAUACCUGAGAGGAGAGUUUCGGAGUUAUUUGAAGAGCAGGGACGCCCAUGGGUUCCAGCUAAUGCCAUCCUUACUUGUUUUGUGUUUCGUUUUAGUUAUUGGCGAUGCGGUUGGAUGAGACGUGGCUGUUUCAUAUGAAAGAAAAAGAAUUUGCUCUGAGGGAGCCGAGAGCAGCAGUACAAUCCGCAGGGUUGUUUAUUCUAAAUAGAGCUCUGCAUGGUUUUAUUUUUGACAGGUGACGAUCACCCUUCAGGUUCUUUUAAAGUUAUAUUUUUAUUUACAUUCCUGUGUGAGGGGAGGGAAGGGGAGAGGAUGGGAGGAGCAUCCUGUGUGCAUGCCUGCAGGUGCGCCAGUGCUCAGCAGAGGGCACUGAACGCUAUGGAACUAGGGUUAACAGAUGGUUGUGAGCUGCCAGAACAGGGUACUUAAAACAACAUUUUCAGGUAAAAGGGCAGCAAGCAUUAAACUGCUGAGCCAUCUCUCCAAACCGUCGGCCUUCUUGGUGUUCUUUGCUGGGGCAGGGAGGUAGCAGGGAGGAAGUGGAGAGAACUGGGAGAUUUGAGACGCUCCUUCUGAGCUUUAAGCUACGUGUAGAUAAUAUCUGCAUGUGUGGCACAAUUGAAGCAGCAGUGGCUUUCAGGCUAGUUACUGCAUGGACUAGUAAGGUAGCUCUCCUGCUCUCAGCACCGUGCAUCUGAUGCUCCGUUCUCAGGGACCACCUAACGUGGUUAACCGCCCUGGCUAACGGGGACACUGCUGACAAUACACGUGGCUGUUAGUUCCUGAUUUCUGCUUAAGGCUUUGCAGUUCUGCUUUUAGUCCUGUGACCAGAGACACUUCCUCCUAUGGCAGCUGAAUUCCACAUUUCCUGAAACAGGAUUUCCCUAUUUUGUAGAGAACUUCCAUGACUGAAUCUUCCUGCUUCUGGAAAUAAAAUGGGUAGUACCUUGCACACAAAGCUUGGAGGGUGCCUCUCUUUCUUCUCUUCUUCUGCUUUUUCUCAUUUACCUGAGAAGAAUUUUAAAUGGAUCAAAGGAAUGAAUGUCAGCCACCAAACUGAGAAGUCGACUUGCCUUUGAAUACCUGUAACUUUGUUAGAAUAAUAAAUUCUGUAGAAAACUAG
Molecule: long non-coding RNA, 1418 nt
Filed under: Mus pahari (shrew mouse)
Lineage: Eukaryota; Metazoa; Chordata; Mammalia; Rodentia; Muridae
Description: lncRNA (MGP_PahariEiJ_G0005119.1)
Source: RNAcentral